CCUACGGGAGGCAGCAGUGAGGAAUAGUGGUCAAUGGCCGGAAGGCUGAACCAGCCAAGCCGCGUGAAGGACGAAGGUGCCAAGCAUUGUAAACUUCUUUUGUCAAGGGACAAAAUCAGGCUCGAGAGCCUGACCGAGGGUACUUGAAGAAAAAGCAUCGGCUAACUCCGGGCCAGAAGCCGCGGUAAUACGGAGGAUGCGAGCGUUAUCCGGAUUGAUUGGGUUAAAGGGGUGCGUAGGCGGACUGUUAAGUCAGCGGUAAAAGCCCGGGGCUCAACCCCGGCGAGCCGUUGAAACUGGCUGUCUUGAGAUGUCGAGAGGUAUGCGGAAUGCGCAGUGUAGCGGUGAAAUGCUUAGAUAUUGCGCAGAACUCCGAUUGCGAAGGCAGCAUACCGGCGGCGAUCUGACGCUGAGAUACGAAAGCGUGGGUAUCGAACAGGAUUAGAUACCCCAGUAGUC
Molecule: ribosomal RNA, 459 nt
Filed under: uncultured bacterium
Lineage: Bacteria
Description: partial 16S ribosomal RNA
Rfam family: Bacterial small subunit ribosomal RNA
Source: RNAcentral